GGAAGGAUCAUUAUUGAAUGAACUUGGUGUGGUUGUUGCUGGCCCUCUCGGGGGCAUGUGCACACCCACCAUCCUCAUCUCUCCACCUGUGCACCUCUUGUAGACCUGGAUAGACUUUCCGAGGCAACUCGGUCGGGAAGAUUGCUGCGCUCUGUGAGCCAGCUUUCUUUGCAUGUCCAGGCCUAUGUUUUUCAUAUACCCCUAUAGAAUGUAACAGAAUGUAUCAUUGGGCCUUGUGCCUAUAAACCUUAUACAACUUUCAGCAACGGAUCUCUUGGCUCUCGCAUCGAUGAAGAACGCAGCGAAAUGCGAUAAGUAAUGUGAAUUGCAGAAUUCAGUGAAUCAUCGAAUCUUUGAACGCACCUUGCGCUCCUUGGUAUUCCGAGGAGCAUGCCUGUUUGAGUGUCAUUAAAUUCUCAACCUUAUUAGCUUUUGUUGAUAAUGGAUUGGAUGUGGGGGUUUAUUUGCUGGCUUCUUCACAGAGAUCAGCUCCCCUUAAAUGCAUUAGCUGGUGCCCCGCGUGGACCAUCUAUUGGUGUGAUAAUUAUCUACGCCGUGGAUGUCUGCAAUCAUAUGGGUUUUGCACUGCUUCUAACCGUCUGUUCAUUCGGACAAUACAUGACAAUUUGACCUCAAAUCAGGUAGGACUACCCGCUGAACUUAAGCAUAUCAAUAAGCGGAGGAAAAGAAACUAACAAGGAUUCCCCUAGUAACUGCGAGUGAAGCGGGAAAAGCUCAAAUUUAAAAUCUGGCGGUCUCCGGCCGUCCGAGUUGUAAUCUAGAGAAGUGUUAUCCGCGCUGGACCGUGUACAAGUCUCCUGGAAUGGAGCGUCAUAGAGGGUGAGAAUCCCGUCUUUGACACGGACUGCCAGGGCUUUGUGAUGCGCUCUCAAAGAGUCGAGUUGUUUGGGAAUGCAGCUCAAAAUGGGUGGUAAAUUCCAUCUAAAGCUAAAUAUUGGCGAGAGACCGAUAGCGAACA
This 979-nucleotide ribosomal RNA is filed under the name uncultured fungus. RNAcentral's name for it is "eukaryotic LSU rRNA". The stretch from base 628 to 979 matches the Rfam family "Eukaryotic large subunit ribosomal RNA", at positions 1 to 346 of the family's 3401-position model. Lineage: Eukaryota; Fungi. The record is from RNAcentral.